AAUUGGGAGAAGGGGUGCUUCCUGUAGCAAUCGGAAUGCGUGGAUGGCUGAGAACAAACCCUCAUCACCUGAACCGGAUAAUACCGGCGUAGGAAACUCUCCGUCUGACUAUCU
This is a regulatory RNA element of Porphyromonas gingivalis W83, 114 nucleotides long. It matches the Rfam family "TPP riboswitch aptamer (THI element)". Rfam says of the family: Vitamin B(1) in its active form thiamin pyrophosphate (TPP) is an essential coenzyme that is synthesised by coupling of pyrimidine and thiazole moieties in bacteria. The previously detected thiamin-regulatory element, thi box was extended, resulting in a new, highly conserved RNA secondary structure, the THI element, which is widely distributed in eubacteria and also occurs in some archaea. Analysis of operon structures identified a large number of new candidate thiamin-regulated genes, mostly transporters, in various prokaryotic organisms. The record is from Rfam. Lineage: Bacteria; Pseudomonadati; Bacteroidota; Bacteroidia; Bacteroidales; Porphyromonadaceae.